AGGGGAACAACACAUUGCUCUUCUCUAUCUUUUGCUGAGACAUCUCUCCAACAUCAGUUUAUAUUGAAAACUGGUUCCAUGUUUAGGCCAACGCACUAGAAUACAUGGCAGAGUAAACAUUUUACCAUACAAGUUAACACGGCAGAUGAGUUAGGCAUUGGAAACAGAUCACACAGACCCUUCAAACACAAUCUAGUAAAUCCUGCUGCCAGCCUGCAGUCCUGUGCUUGUCAUCCCUUCUUCAGCUUCAGCAUCACAAUGGCAGGCAAUAAUAGAGCCAAUGUCAGAACACAGCACCCCACAGAGAGGAGAGCUCCCCAGAGGUUGAGUAAAAGAAGGAUGUACGUCAAUGUCUUGGCAAGAUGUGCUAUAGAGAAUGGCAAGUGUGGGACAGAUGUGCAAGUAGGCAUCUGGAUGAGGAAGUUGUGAAUGUGGGACUGAAGUAGAAGUGAGCACCCAGAGUGGCACAAGGAGGGGAUUCUUCUCCCUGAGAGUAAAGAGAGUACUGGGGCAGCAAGAUGGAACAUUGAGGCAUCGGGACCCAGAGCAGUGGGCAGAUUCUUAGAAACAGGCGAGUAUUUGAAGAUAAGAGAAGUGUGAGCUUGAGUUCUGAGACAGGCAGCAAUAAGGUAAGCUACCUUGCUGUUCAGUUUGAAUCACUUCUUUGGAAAAUCAGGUUCCAUGAUGUAUUUUCAAGAUUGAAAAUUCAAUCAGCUUUGCUGUCUGACUUCAUUUGACCUGGCAGAAAAGAGGA
This 754-nucleotide long non-coding RNA is filed under the name Rhinopithecus bieti (black snub-nosed monkey). RNAcentral's name for it is "lncRNA (ENSRBIG00000046021.1)". Lineage: Eukaryota; Metazoa; Chordata; Mammalia; Primates; Cercopithecidae. The record is from RNAcentral.